RNAcentral lists this small RNA (300 nucleotides) under Histoplasma ohiense. RNAcentral describes it as "hypothetical lncRNA". Lineage: Eukaryota; Fungi; Ascomycota; Eurotiomycetes; Onygenales; Ajellomycetaceae. The record is from RNAcentral.
UAGAACGUUUUAGAGCAACAGCUUUUUCUUCGCUUUCGAGAGCGUUAAUCUCACCUGGCAUCUCUGCGCGUUCAAGGUUAUCGCCGACAUCAAGACCUUCGUAUCCUAAGAGUCAUCCAAACAAUGGUCUUUUAGGUGCGCGAUUUGGAUCGAUUGCCAGUCAGUUAUCCUCAGGAUCUGCCAGUUCUCCGGGUCGACAAAUAUACUCUCGUGAUGCUGUUGUAAGCGAUGUAUGUAUGUAUGUAUAAAUUUAACGUCCCAGAAGCCUCCCGAAGGGCAUGGAGACGUGCUAAGCUGGAG